UAACUGCUCCCCUUUGAUCUUUUCCCCUCUCUUUUGGAUUACUCGAUGUUGUUUACCGCCCCGGAAGAGUAGAAGUGGGGAGAAUAAGAUGAGGCUGUGAAGCGGAAAGCAGAGGAGGCGUGCCCUGAUGCUGCCCGGGAGCAGGGAGGGAAAAGGAGCCCUGGAAUGGAUUCGAUGUCAGGGCUGAGAGAAGUGGAGCCCACAGCUUGUUGGCCUCGUCGCAGCAAUUACAUGCUCAGAUGGACGCCGCUCAUGAGCGGUUUAUGAAUGCAAUUGGUGGUUGAAGCAGUUGGUACUCACUCUCCGGAUGAAGUCUCUUCUGCAAAGCAAAGGUACGGAGUCCCAGCGACGUUUCUCUGAAUUUGGUGAGGCCAAGCUUAGAUUGUCCCAAACUUAUUUAAGAGUUUGAUGUUGAAAGGUUGAGGACGUACAUGCUUGAUUGAUAAGUCAUGAAAUGCUCAAAU
Molecule: long non-coding RNA, 464 nt
Organism: Brachypodium distachyon (stiff brome)
Lineage: Eukaryota; Viridiplantae; Streptophyta; Magnoliopsida; Poales; Poaceae
Exons: 3
Source: RefSeq, a predicted model, not a curated record